ACGAACGCUGGCGGCAUGCCUAACACAUGCAAGUCGAACGAGACCUUCGGGUCUAGUGGCGCACGGGUGCGUAACGCGUGGGAACCUGCCCUUAGGUUCGGAAUAACUCCCCGAAAGGGGUGCUAAUACCGGAUAAUGUCUUCGGACCAAAGAUUUAUCGCCUUUGGAUGGGCCCGCGUUGGAUUAGCUAGUUGGUAGGGUAAAAGCCUACCAAGGCGACGAUCCAUAGCUGGUCUGAGAGGAUGAUCAGCCACACUGGGACUGAGACACGGCCCAGACUCCUACGGGAGGCAGCAGUUGGGAAUAUUGGACAAUGGGCGAAGGCCUGAUCCAACAAGGCCGCGUGAGUGAUGAAGGCCUUAGGGUUGUAAAGCUCUGUUACCCGGGAUGAUAAUGACAGUACCGGGAGAAUAAGCUCCGGCUAACUCCGUG
Molecule: ribosomal RNA, 432 nt
Filed under: uncultured bacterium
Lineage: Bacteria
Description: partial 16S ribosomal RNA
Rfam family: Bacterial small subunit ribosomal RNA
Source: RNAcentral